CGCCCAUUGAUCCCAUUCUGACAAAAAGGAGAUCAAAGCUUAGCACGCACAAGUUAAAACCGUCCUUCAAAUCCUUCUUGAGGAUGAUAAUCAAACAAGUGAAUCAUCUCAACGCUUUUCGUGCAAGUGAUCAGAAUUUUAACUCACUGACUGACUGCCAGAUAUUUUAAAACAUUUCACCU
Hippocampus comes (tiger tail seahorse) is the source of this 182-nucleotide long non-coding RNA. RefSeq lists it as uncharacterized. The record is from RefSeq and is a predicted model, not a curated record. The transcript is spliced from 2 exons. Lineage: Eukaryota; Metazoa; Chordata; Actinopteri; Syngnathiformes; Syngnathidae.